CAAUGAGGUCCUCCAAUAGGUCCUGGCAGGUCACUAAUGAGCCUAAUGACUCCUCUUAAUGAGGUCCUCCAAUGAGGUCCUCCAACAGGUCCUGGCAGGUCGCUAAUGAGCCUAAUGACUCUGCUUAAUGAGGUCCUCCAAUGGGGCUAAUGAGGUCCUCCAAUGAGGUCCUCCAACAGGUCCUGGCAGGUCGCUAAUGAGCCUAACGACUCACCUUAAUGAGGUCCUGCAACAGGUCCUGGCAGAUUAAUUUGGGGUCCUUCUUAACGGGGUCG
Long non-coding RNA from Tympanuchus pallidicinctus (lesser prairie-chicken), 275 nucleotides. RefSeq lists it as uncharacterized. The record is from RefSeq and is a predicted model, not a curated record. Lineage: Eukaryota; Metazoa; Chordata; Aves; Galliformes; Phasianidae. The transcript has 3 exons.